UCUUUCAUUAAGGCUGUGUGCUGACUCCCACGUAGGAGAACUUAUUAAACCGCACGUACUGCCUGACCCCCCAUCCGCGGCAGCCGGCAGGGGGCGCCACAGCCUCGCUAAUGACUCGCCCGCUGUCCCAGCACCCCGGCCGGGAACCGAUUGGGGUUAUUGGCUGCCUGUUACCCCGCGUCCCAACAUUUGCUGGAGUCGCUUCUAACUAUAAUACUCACCGCAACCGGGGGGCUCACCCUACCCCGCCCUGCCCCGCCGCCACGCGAGGCGGUGACCUCCGGCGUCUCAGCGAAGCCUGACUCGCACCCAGGACACGCGCCUCACAUGAAGAGCAGCGCUCGCGACAGCUCAGCGUCCGCAGGGAGCGACCAGAACGCCGUGCACCGCGGCGGCCCCACCUUCCCAAGUCGAGCUGCUGAUCUCAGGCUCCUGGGUGGACCAGCGCCAGGACCAGGACCAGGGGCACCCUCCCUUCCUAGACUCAAGAGCCGAGGAUGAAUCAGCGUUGAGACAGUUUAUUGAUUCGCAGUUCGCAUAUCACCCAUUUUAAGUAAUCGAUAAUACAGAGACACGGUGUUUCCUUCACGGGAGGUAAUCAGCUCUUUCGCGCGCGCACUCACAACAAAUGUAACACCUCAUGGAGACAUUCACGUCUUAAAAUAGGGGGACAAUACAAUCGCUUUUAAAUGCCCUUAAUACAAUAUAUAACGUACAAAAA
Long non-coding RNA from Tupaia belangeri chinensis (Chinese tree shrew), 721 nucleotides. RefSeq lists it as uncharacterized. The transcript is spliced from 2 exons. Lineage: Eukaryota; Metazoa; Chordata; Mammalia; Scandentia; Tupaiidae. The record is from RefSeq and is a predicted model, not a curated record.